GAGAUAGAGGUGCAUUUGACAAGAGUAAAUAUUUUGAUGUUGCAGUGACAGAUGAUAAAUAUUGAAAGGGGAAAAUGCCGAAGGAAAUUUUUACUGUGAAAAAUUUUCUGGUUGCUGUGUUAAUAGCACUGUGACUGUCAUUGGUAAUUCCGAUGGAGAACUAAUGGAGAGCUAUC
This 176-nucleotide non-coding RNA is filed under the name human gut metagenome. RNAcentral describes it as "Lysine riboswitch". It matches the Rfam family "Lysine riboswitch aptamer". Rfam says of the family: Riboswitches are metabolite binding domains within certain messenger RNAs that serve as precision sensors for their corresponding targets. Allosteric rearrangement of mRNA structure is mediated by ligand binding, and this results in modulation of gene expression. The record is from RNAcentral.